GAACGCUGAAAGUGGCAGUUCAUUGACCGGAAUUCACGUGACAUUGAUCGGAAAGAAGGGCCAGAGAGCACCCAUCAGGCCCUGGGCCGUGCUCGCCGUCUCACGUGGACCGCCCCGCUUGAGCCUCCCAACACUAGGACAACUGCAGGCACCAAGAGGAAUCCACCCUGGGGAGGGGGUGACAGCUAAAUCCUGCUUCCAGAGGCCAGGAAGGUGGAAAGCCCAGCGGUACCACCCAGAGCCGGGAUCAGCGGUGUCAGCCCAGAGGUGCCUCCAACUGGACCAGGUUGGCUGUGGCCUUUGGGACGUUGCUCCUGGUUGGUUCUCUGGUCCUCCGGGAAUUGUGGUAAGCUACAGGGCGAUUCUGAAGAAAUUAUUUUUCAGCCUAAAGUAUCUAGGGUUGGUUUCUCUUCCUUUCAGUGAGGAACUCUGAUUUAGAGAUAAAACCGCAACAUCAGGGGGUUCACCACAUGGCCACCAAGAGGCCCAAACCACGAGGGGUCUCACGGGAAGGUGAGACCAGGCAGAAAGAAGCAGUGUAGCUUUUCAUUUCUAUACUUUUGGGACUUUUACAUGACAAGCAUUCAUUAUUUUUAAAGUUAAAAAAAAAUCUGUCAAUACAGAUAAAAAGAUAAAAAGAAGGAAAGCAAAGAAGUGGGGAGUGGUAUGGGGUCGCCACAGGACAGCCAGGGCCCCUAAGCCAGGGAGAUAGAGGGAAAGGGGGGAAAAACCAGGAGCACUCUGAGAAGACAAGGCUUCUGCUCCCGAGAGAAUGGGAAUCCAUCGUGGCAAGUGGAAGGGGUUGGGGAGGAAGAGGGAAGGGAGAACUUUCUGACCCUGACUUAGGGCCACGUGGGCAGGAGGGGACGGGGAGGGGAGAGCGGAGAGUGGGGAACCAGUCCUGUGAGGGGUAAGGGAGAACGAAGGGGUCCUCAGGAUAUUUUCAUCCGAGCAGGUGGUCAAGUUAAGAGGCCCACAAAGCUCCUAGGGGAGGCGCCUGAGGCCAACUGAAUGUCUGUGGUUGGGUUAAAGGUAAAGUCAGGGCAAUCUUUUUUUUUUUUAAUUGUAUUAUUAUUUAUUUUUGGGGGGGUUAUUUAUAUUUAUUUUUGGAGGCGGUACUAAGGAAUGAGCCCAGGACCUUGUGCAUGCUAAGCCUGCGCUCCACCACUCGAGCUACACCCUGCCCCUCUCCCCGGGGCAAUCCUGAAGGAAGGUGGCUGGCAGGAGGGAGAGAAGGGGUCCUCCUGGGCUGAUGGAUGGAGGAUGUUGGGGACGGCUGAGCACAAGCAGAGCCCUGCUUCCUUGGCCUGCUGCCCGCCCAGGCCCACUGACUCAGCUCAGUCCGGUGGCGGCUGUGGCAGGUGAUGGAGGGCAGUCGGAUGACACACAGACCCUCCUAAGAGGGUCUCUGCUGCACCACCGUUUAUUGCUGCAGCUUCCGAGCUUUGUGACAGUCCCUCCCUCCAUCUCCCCAAACACAGGUGCAAAGCUUGGUGUGUGGUUUGUGUUUUUCUGGAGGGCAGCACACCAGCCUUCUGCAGAUUCUCCAAGGUUGAGGGUUGGGGCAGAAAGUUGAGUUGGCUUUCUCUGGCCUCCAGGGUGAAGUGCACGAGCUCACACCACCCUGCUUGCCUCUGCCUCUGCCCCCGCCGCCCGGUGCCGUGCCUCGGUCCCACACACCCUGCCCCUCCCUCUUCUGGAACUUGUGCCCGUGAUAGAUUUGACCAUGAUGCAGCUCUGCCUGGAACCCUUGACUGACCCCCCUUGAGUGGAGACAAUCGCUUCUUGUUGCCGAGCAAGUCAGUCCUACCUACCUCUCCAGCCCCAGCCCCUGCCUUUGCCCACAGACUCACUCACACCCACCUUUUUGCCUGUGGUUCCACGGUGAUGGGGCCCCAGGUGGCCCAUUCUGCACCCUUUGUUGACUUAAGGAAAUUUCAGUUGGAAGAAGUUGAGAUUUUUACUGUCCUUACAGAAUAUGAAAAAGAGGGAGGGCUUUCAAGGAUAGAAGAACAAAGCAAAAUAAAUAAAUAAAUAAAUAAAUGUUAAAAUAAAAGGAAGAAAAAAGGACUCUCCUGCAUAGAUAUUAUACUUCAAAAAAAAUUUUUUUUACCAUCCCCCUCAAAAGCCGCUCUGGUCAUCUGCAACUGGCAGUCUUCACAGAUGGUGCAAGCACCCUGUCCUCCCCUGGACCCCAGGCCUCUUCCUCCACCUCAGCUCCUUAUUAUGCAGAUCACCAGAGUGCCUUGAGCUGCCUGUGAACUUGAUGCAUUAGCACACUGCCCAGAUUCUACCCUAAGGACAGCCCAGCAGGUGUCCCAGUAGCGGGAAGCCUGGGUGAGGUGGGGGCAGGGCGGCUGCAAACACUUCUAGUGGUACCUGACUUCUUUCAUCCCUCUCUAGUCUCAGACAGGCUCCUCCUUACCUGGGAGCUGCACACUUGCCUUUCUUCUGCUAGAAACUCCGGUCUUUUGCCUCCCUCUUCCUUCAGGCCAGUUUAAGUGACUCUCCGCAGGGGUCCCAGACCAGGGCAGUCAGUCCCCCCUACAUAAUUAAAUUUACUUAUAUUUAUAUUUUAUUAUCAUUAUACUUAAUUAUAUAUUUUAACGAAUUUUAUUUAUUAUUUGUUUUUAAAUUAUUAUAUUUAAAUACAAUUUUAUAAUAUAUAAUUAUAUUCAAUUAUCUAAUAAUUAAAUUUAGUUGUGGCUCCCACCAUAAUUAAAUCUAUGGGUGUAUUUCAGGGCUAGACUGUAGACUCUCACUCCACUGCAAGAGCUCUAAGUGGGUAGCAACUGUGUCCGUCCAGUUCAUUGCCAAAUCCCAGGUGCCCGGCCUGCAGCUUGGCGCAUAACAGGCUCUCAAAAAAUAUUUGUUGUAGCUGCACAUUCAAAUCUUACUCCUCUCCCCCACCUGCUCAGAGCCCCUGCUUCCCUGCAAACAGCCUUGGUCUCACUCUGGAAGGCCCAGGGCUUGUUCCUUUCCUGUCAGUGGACACCAAUCACCAGGCCCUGGCAGAGCACAAACGUCCUGAGGCCCUUUCCCUGUUUAUCAGCUUCUCUAAAUGCAAAUGGUUACCAAGGACCUUUGACCUCGCUUUCAACCACCGGGGUCCUUUCCUCUAUUUACCUUGAAAAGUGGAGGAGGGGCAUCUAUCCUCCCCCUACUCUUCCUACUCUCCAUCCCCCAUCCCCCCAUCCUGCCCCGCUCCCCCUCCCUCUCCAGAUGUAACAAGGCCCUGCUUAGGCUUCCGUCUUCAGCUUAGAGCCUGAAAGCCAGGCAUCUCCUGUUCCCGUUGCUUCCUUGUUCCUUUCUCCCAGGACUGGUGAGCAGAAGUAUGGAAAACCAGCCUGGCCUCCUGCCUGCCCCUUAGGAAAGACCGGGCAGUGCCGCUUCGCGGAUGUCCUUCGCGGAUUCCAUCCACACAUCCUUCCUCGGUGGGUGUGGCGGGCCCUAUCACCCUCCCCAGCUUUACCAACGGAAAAGCUGAGACCAGAACGGAGAUGGAUGCUGGGCCUUGGGCCAAAGUCAUCUAAUUACGUACACAGGACCAAAGCCCUCAGUGCCCCUCACCGCAUCCCUGCCGCUAUAGGGACCUGGGCAGUUGUUCCCCGGGAAAGCGCGACUCCUGGUGGAGAAGAGAAGCAUGGCGGCCUGUCCCUCAUCCCAAGACUGGCUGAGAGAAAUGGGCGUGGUCUGCAGGACCACCGACACACGGCUUUAUCCAGUUACUGAUGCAAGGCCCUUCCUUGGAAAAAUCAGGUAUCUCUGUAUGUGCAGGUACUUCCAUGCAUAGAAUAUGUACGUUUCUGAGCCACUCCCAAGGCCCUGAGGGGAAAGAACCCAACUUUGGUAGCACCUUCCCCUCCGCCAUAUUCCCUAUUAAGGACAUAUUAACACUGCCCUGUAACUUUAACUGCACCCUGCUGGCUGGAUCUGUAACCCAGGAGGACCCUAUGGGGCCUUCUCAGGACAGACCCCUCCCCCAUAUCAUCUGUUGCAGCUCCUCUCUGAAGUACCCAGAUAAUGGUCUCUGAUGCACAUUUCCUGAGUUGUUUUACAGCUGCUAAAUCCACCACCAAAUGGAAGAAAUUAACUACUUGCUGAUUCUGAGCAUGUGGCCCCCAGACCUACUGGCGCCAAAGGACUGAUAAUGUUAACCCCUGUGACACCGCCUUGUUACCUCACCAUCAACCAAUCAGAGAAUCAUGCACAAGCUGAUCACAGACCCUGGGACACCCCUCCCUUGACUUGCCUUUAAAAAUUAAAAAUGCUUUGCUCAAAACCA
Molecule: long non-coding RNA, 4285 nt
Organism: Camelus dromedarius (Arabian camel)
Lineage: Eukaryota; Metazoa; Chordata; Mammalia; Artiodactyla; Camelidae
Exons: 2
Source: RefSeq, a predicted model, not a curated record